AAAAUCCGUUUAGAUAAUGCUAGGAUGUGAUGGGGAAGCCCUUCGGGGCGAAGUAGCUGAUUUCACACUGUCAAGAAAAGCUUCUAUCGAGUUUAAAGGCGCCCGUACCGUAAACCGACACAGGUGGGUGAGGAGAGUAUCCUAAGGCCAGCGAGAGAACUAUUGUUAAGGAACUCGGCAAAAUGACCCCGUAACUUAGGGAGAAGGGGUGCCUGUCUAUGACAGGCCGCAGAGAAUAGGCCCAAGCGACUGUUUACCAAAAACACAGGUUUCUGCUAAGUCGCAAGACGAUGUAUAGGAGCUGACGCCUGCCCGGUGCUGGAAGGUUAAGGGGAUCUGUUAGAGCAAUCGAAGCAGUGAACUUAAGCCCCAGUAAACGGCGGCCGUAACUAUAACGGUCCUAAGGUAGCGAAAUUCCUUGUCGGGUAAGUUCCGACCCGCACGAAAGGCGUAACGAUUUGGGCACUGUCUCAACAAUAGACUCGGUGAAAUUGUAAUCCCGGUGAAGAUGCCGGGUACCUGCGACAGGACGGAAAGACCCCAUGGAGCUUUACUGUAGCUUGACGUUGGGUCUUGGUACUACAUGUACAGGAUAGGUGGGAGACUAUGAAGCAUGGACGCCAGUCUGUGUGGAGUCAUCCUUGGGAUACCACCCUUGUAGUACUGGGAUCCUAACCAUAGGCCUUGAAUCAGGUCUUGGAACACCGUCAGGUGGGCAGUUUGACUGGGGCGGUCGCCUCCUAAAAAGUAACGGAGGCGCUCAAAGGUUUCCUCAGCACGGUCGGAAAUCGUGCGAAGAGUGUAAAGGCAAAAGGAAGCUUGAUUGCAAGACAUACAGGUCGAGCAAGGACGAAAGUCGGACUUAGUGAUCCGGUGGUACCGCAUGGAAGGGCCAUCGCUCAACGGAUAAAAGCUACCCUGGGGAUAACAGGCUUAUCUCCCCCAAGAGUCCACAUCGACGGGGAGGUUUGGCACCUCGAUGUCGGCUCAUCACAUCCUGGGGCUGUAGUAGGUCCCAAGGGUUGGGCUGUUCGCCCAUUAAAGUGGUACGCGAGCUGGGUUCAGAACGUCGUGAGACAGUUCGGUCCCUAUCCGUCGCAGGCGUAGGAAAUUUGAGAAGACCUGUCCUUAGUACGAGAGGACCGGGAUGGACGUACCUCUGGUGUACCAGUUGUUCUGCCAAGGGCAUGGCUGGGUAUCUAUGUACGGAAUGGAUAAGCGCUGAAAGCAUCUAAGCGCGAAGCCAACUUCAAGAUAAGAUUUCCACCGUAAGGGUAAGACCCCAGGAAGACUACCUGGUUGAUAGGUCGAAGGUGUAAGUGCAGUAAUGUAUUUAGCUUAUCGAUACUAAUAGGUCGAGGACUUGAUC
This 1369-nucleotide ribosomal RNA is filed under the name metagenome. RNAcentral describes it as "bacterial LSU rRNA". It matches the Rfam family "Bacterial large subunit ribosomal RNA", at positions 1537 to 2925 of the family's 2925-position model. The record is from RNAcentral.